GGACGGGUCACGGGGUCAGGAACAGGUAGUCAGGCCGAACCCAUCUGGCCAUCUCUCUGUCGCGUUUCCGUCCCUCAUCUCUCCCUCCAUCGCGUCGAACCCUCCAAACCUCCAAUCCUCCAUGGAUGAUGGACCCGGCUCUCUCCCUCUCGUCGUCGAAACCUCCUGGCCUCCCACCUCUCCGGCUCUUCCUCUCUUGACGAAAGAAAUCCCGAGUUCCGAUCAGCGGCUCGGUGCAGCGCUGCAACGACAGCACAGCGGCGGUCGCAUGCCUCGCGGUAGAUCUCGAGUUCGAUCGGUGAAGCUCCGGCGGCGACGCGGCAAGACGGAGGCCGCGGGCGGUGCGGGGAGGCGGCUCGGGCGCGGCCGUGGCGAGGGAGGCCGAUCGGAGAAGAAGAUGAGCAGUGAUUUUUUUUUCCCUUUACCCUCCCGCCUCUCUCUCUCGAUCUCUCUCCUCUCUCUCUCUC
Molecule: long non-coding RNA, 467 nt
Filed under: Phoenix dactylifera (date palm)
Lineage: Eukaryota; Viridiplantae; Streptophyta; Magnoliopsida; Arecales; Arecaceae
Description: long non-coding RNA (PDAC_LNC020873)
Source: RNAcentral